Molecule: long non-coding RNA, 2187 nt
Filed under: Bemisia tabaci
Lineage: Eukaryota; Metazoa; Arthropoda; Insecta; Hemiptera; Aleyrodidae
Description: lncRNA ENSSSA3NGG013693
Source: RNAcentral
UUUGUCUAUUUUCAUAUGUAUGCUCAGAAUUGAGUUGAAAAAUAUGUUUAAUAGUUGAGGUUUGCUCUUUUUUAACUUAUUUCUGCUUUGUGUAUUUUUUAAGCGAGCUAGUUUGGUUAACCAAAGACGUGGACAAUUAGAAACAUGGCUGCGACAAGUAAUCACCCAUCUGUUAUCAACAGAUCCUCUUCUGUCUUCCAAGCACAACCUAAUCAUCACAGUGCCUUUUCUAGGGGAAAACUUCUGUCCGUCCAGUGAUGAUAGAGGGAGUGGCUCUCAAUCUCGAAAUUCAGACGCAGCCAAUAUGAGUACAACACCACAGUAUAUGGGUCUUUGACAUAGUAUCAAUGUAAUCAUAACAUUGUCAAUUUCAUCUAAAUGUGUUAUUUUUGCUCUCUAUUCUGAGGUACUGUCUUGCUCCUCGUCACACAUAUAUUUUAUGAAAUUUUUCUCUCCAGGUUUUUAGCAUUCUUAAACUAUUUAUAUUUUUCAUGUAGACUCUUCUUUAAUAAUCAUAUGAACGAGAAAAUAUAAAAUGACGCCACAGUUAUAGAAAGAACUGCCUUGACUUGACUCUCAUACAAUCGUACUUUACGAAAUUUAUUUUUAUAAGGUGAUCACCGAGCUUCUUUUGUAAGAAAAACUUUUUAUUUACAUAUGGUGUGCAACCGAAUCAAUUGAAGUUAUCUGUACUCAGAAUCUGUUUUUUUGGGAGUCAGUACAUAAUCGAGAACAUGCUCUUGCUUCCUAUCUGGCUUUGACACAGUUUAAGAAAAUCCCGAGCAUUUCAAUGGCUAAAUGAAGAAAAAUGCAUGUUUCAAUGACAACAUUAUAAAUCUCUAAUUAUGAUUAUUUUUUUCCAGAAAAACCAAAUCAAAAUUUUACCUUGAAAUCUUGUGUGAAUUCUUCUAGAAUACAGGACAAAAAUUUCAAUAGAAACUGUUUAUUCAUAUUCAUAUUCCUUUGAAGAAAUGAAUUAUGAGCAGAGACUUAAAAUGUAGCGAACUGCAAUAUGCAUUUUUUCACGUAAGCCAUCGAAUUUAUUGAAAAUAAUUAUCAGCAGAAAAGUUGAAGAAUGUGUAUUCUUUUGAGAUCUUAAAAUCGUUCAUGUCCACUUCCUAGAUAUUUCCAAGGGACGUUAUAUGUUUCUCACUUAGACUUGAAAUUUUACGCAAAGAAUAUCAGGAUUAAGACCAAGCCUUACAAAUAAACAUUUUAUCCCAUCUGAAACUGAUGGAUUGAACAUUUUCACUAAUUGAAGGGAAGGCAUAAAUUAUUUAUAUUGCAAAUACAGAAGUAGGUAUAACAAUUUAAAUUAGGGUAUCCAAUGAAACAACAGUAAAGUUACGCCAAUCUGCUAAUCACUUUCUCUAUAAUGUUUUUAAGAAAACUACUGAGCCUCAUUUUUUAAAUUUAAUAAUCCUUUGAGGAAUAGUUCAUGAAAGGGAGAGAUCACUCAAGCGUUAUUCGAGUUUAUAAUAGACACAUUUUUUCUUCUUAGAAACGUUCUCUCAUCUUGGAGUAAUGAAGUGGCUUCAAGCCGCCAAGCUCUUCCAAUUUCUUUUUUCCUACCUAAUAAUUAAAAAAAAAAAACCCCCAUUAAUUGCAGAUAUGUAUGAACCAUUGUAAAAAUGUCUAGUUUUUCAAAAUUCCUACGUUUCCAUCUAACCCUUGGAUCCACUUUAACUACUGUAUGAUGGUUUUCAUGAGUUUGUUUUUGUUAAAAAGUAUAUAUAGAUUUUAGAGAAUUUGUAAUUUGUUACGAUUUUAUAUAUCCAUACUUGUCUGCAUUUGUUUGUUUUUCUCUAGUCGUAUUGUAAGAUACAAUUGAAAUUUUCCUUUUUUAAAGUAUGUUAGAAAUUCUGUAAACUGUGAGUAUUAAUAGUUAUGAACUUAUACAAAUAAGGACAUAGUGUCGCUAUUUUGUUGGAAUUUUCUCCAAACAUUGAUCUGUAAGAAAGCAUUCAAGAUUAUGCAAUGUAAUUUGUAUUAAUUAUUACAAAUCUUAAAAUAAAAAUAUGUAUGUUACUUUGUUUAUAUUAUUAUUGCUCUAUGUUGCUGUGAAUUAUUUUUUACUCAAAAAAUUAAACAAGGAAUGAACCAAUAUAUGUAUUUAUUUUUUAACUUAGAAUUAUAAUUAAGUAUAGUGGGUACUUAGAGCAUAACUCUUAUGCAUCCUCUUCGAUU